GAGAUUUGGCAAGUUUGAUGAUGUUCUUGAACCAGGAUGUCAUUGCAUGCCUUGGAUUCUUGGAAGACAGAUUGCUGGCCAUCUCUCGCUUCGAUUGCAGCAGUUGGAUGUUCGUUGCGAAACCAAGACAAAGGAUAAUGUGUUUGUCAACGUGGUUGCAUCAGUCCAAUAUCGUGCUCUAGCAGAUAAAGCAAGUGAUGCUUUC
Molecule: unclassified non-coding RNA, 205 nt
Filed under: Hevea brasiliensis (rubber tree)
Lineage: Eukaryota; Viridiplantae; Streptophyta; Magnoliopsida; Malpighiales; Euphorbiaceae
Source: RNAcentral